AUUAUACUCCCUCCGUUCCAUAAGUGUCACAAUUUUGUCUAGAUACGCAUCUAUCUAGACACGUUUUAGUGUGUAGGUACAUGUGUAUUUAGACAAAGUUGUAACACUUAAUAUGGGACAGAGGGAGUAUUAC
This is a non-coding RNA of Brachypodium distachyon (stiff brome), 133 nucleotides long. The record is from Rfam. Lineage: Eukaryota; Viridiplantae; Streptophyta; Magnoliopsida; Poales; Poaceae.